Molecule: long non-coding RNA, 465 nt
Filed under: Homo sapiens (human)
Lineage: Eukaryota; Metazoa; Chordata; Mammalia; Primates; Hominidae
Description: HSALNT0078967
Source: RNAcentral
CCGAGAUUCACCUUCUCUGUUUUUCCGAUGGCUUGCUACAUAUCCUUUAAGUAAGCAUUGCAACCACCCCACCCUCCAAAAUUGGACAGUUUGAACAGGCAGGAAGCAACAUUUUUCAUGCAACGAUCAUGUGCUUCAUGAUCCUCCUGCAAACAUACUGAUGUCUUCUUCCCAAGAUCUAGACAACGAGCAUCAUCUUUAACCAGUAUUUUCAAGAGGCCCUUUGGUCUCAAGUGAGACCAAUCAACUAAUAUCAAACGUACUGUGUGUCUGGCUUGAUAACAGGUGCCAACAGGCACACAGGAAUAAAACACCAUUUCCACCCUCAAGAAAUGUAUGUCCUAGUACUACCUCAUCUGCACAGUGAAAUCAGAGUCCCUGUUCACAAGGCACUUAGGGUCUGGUAAAGAGAAAGCAGCACAGGUAGGAGGACACAGAAAGACACAGUUUUCAAGGCAUAAUUAC